RNAcentral lists this ribosomal RNA (434 nucleotides) under uncultured Ruminococcus sp. Its description in RNAcentral is "partial 16S ribosomal RNA". It matches the Rfam family "Bacterial small subunit ribosomal RNA", at positions 341 to 792 of the family's 1533-position model. The record is from RNAcentral. Lineage: Bacteria; Bacillati; Bacillota; Clostridia; Eubacteriales; Oscillospiraceae.
ACGGAAGGCAGCAGUGGGGAAUAUUGCACAAUGGGCGCAAGUCUGAUGCAGCGAUGCCGCGUGAGGGAAGAAGGUUUUCGGAUUGUAAACCUCUGUCAUCGGGGACGAUAAUGACUGUGCCCGAGAAGGAAGCUCCGGCUAACUACGUGCCAGCAGCCGCGGUAAUACGUAGGGAGCGAGCGUUAUCCGGAAUUACUGGGUGUAAAGGGAGUGUAGGCGGGACUGUAAGUCAGAUGUGAAAUAUGCCGGCUCAACUGGCAGACUGCAUUUGAAACUGCGGUUCUUGAGUGAAGUAGAGGUAAGCGGAAUUCCUAGUGUAGCGGUGAAAUGCGUAGAUAUUAGGAGGAACAUCAGUGGCGAAGGCGGCGUACUGGGCUUUAACUGACGCUGAGGCUCGAAAGCGUGGGGAGCAAACAGGAUUAGAUACCCUGGUA